AGCUGGUCCUUAAAUGUGAAUCUAAUCAAGACAAAAAUUAUGAUAUUCCAAAAAGGACUCAGCCUCCAGUCAGAAAAAUAUAAUUUCUUCCUGGAUAAGAUGGCCCUAGAACACACAAAAACUACACCUACCUCAGAAUAAACAUCAGCACCACAGCCAAUUUCAACAAAGCUGUAAGUGACCUGAGAGACAAGGCAAGAAGGGCAUUUUAUGCUAUCAAAAAGAAUAUCAAAGUGGACAUCCCAAUUCAAAUCUGGCUCAAAAUAUUGGACUCCGUCAUAGAACCCAUUUCUCUUCAUGGUUGUGAAGUCAACCAAGACUUUGCAAAAUGGGACAAACAUCAAACCGAGACUCUGCAUGCAGAAUUCUGCA
Thalassophryne amazonica is the source of this 372-nucleotide long non-coding RNA. RefSeq lists it as uncharacterized. NCBI's taxonomy places the organism in Eukaryota, Metazoa, Chordata, Actinopteri, Batrachoidiformes, Batrachoididae. The transcript is spliced from 3 exons. The record is from RefSeq and is a predicted model, not a curated record.